This 320-nucleotide ribosomal RNA is filed under the name uncultured eukaryote. RNAcentral describes it as "bacterial SSU rRNA". It matches the Rfam family "Eukaryotic small subunit ribosomal RNA", at positions 623 to 956 of the family's 1831-position model. The record is from RNAcentral.
AGAUCAAGGAGCUAAAGCUCGUAGCUGGAUUCAUAGCUACCAUUCCGAUUGUCGCAAGAUGAGAGGAUGGUUUGCUAUUCAGCCUGUUAACUUUGGGGGGUAUUAACUUAUUUUCUAAAGGGCUCAGGCAUUUUACUGUGAGAAAAUUAGAGUGUUUCAGGCAGGCAAGGCCGGAAUAUAUUAGCAUGGAAUAAUGGAUGAGGGCUUUAAAUCCAUGGUUGGAUGGAGAGAAAGUCACUAUUAAUAGGAACAGUUGGGGGCAUUAGUAUUUAAUUAUCAGAGGGAAUUCUGGAUUGUAAAGAUAACUAUGCGAAGCAUUU